CCUACGUGAGGCAGCAGUGGGGAAUAUUGCGCCAUGGGCGAAAGCCUGCCGCCGCGACGCCGCGUGAGGGAUGAAGGUCUUCGGAUCGUAAACCUCUGUCAGCAGGGAAGAACGGUCACUGUGCUAAUCAGCCUUGAAUUGACGGUACCUGCAAAGGCAGCACCGGCUAACUCCGUGCCAGCAGCCGCUGUAAUACGGCGGGUGCGAGCGUUAAUCGGAAUUACUGGGCGUAAAGCGCUCGUAGGCGGUAGGUCAAGUCAAGGGUGAAAUCCCCGCGCUCAACGUGGGAAGUGCCUUUGAAACUGGCAAACUGGAGUGUGUGAGAGGAUAGUGGAAGUCCAGGUGUAGGAGUGAAAUCCGUAGAUAUCUGGAGGAACAUCAGUGGCGAAGGCGACUAUCUGGCACAUAACUGACGCUGAGGAGCGAAAGCGUGGGUAGCAAACAGGAUUAGAUACCCCUGUAGUC
RNAcentral lists this ribosomal RNA (465 nucleotides) under uncultured bacterium. RNAcentral describes it as "partial 16S ribosomal RNA". It matches the Rfam family "Bacterial small subunit ribosomal RNA", at positions 338 to 795 of the family's 1533-position model. The record is from RNAcentral.